Long non-coding RNA from Amblyraja radiata (thorny skate), 471 nucleotides. RefSeq lists it as uncharacterized. NCBI's taxonomy places the organism in Eukaryota, Metazoa, Chordata, Chondrichthyes, Rajiformes, Rajidae. The record is from RefSeq and is a predicted model, not a curated record. The transcript is spliced from 3 exons.
GAGGUUCUGCAGCCUUCCUGGCUAUAGAAUUCCAAUGAGUAAUGUUCCUGAAUUUUAAAAAACCCAAAGUACUGAAGGAACUCGUUGGGUCGGGUAGUAUGUCUGGAGGGAAUGAUCAGACGGAGCUUGGGGCGGGACCCUUUUUCAGAUUGAUGGGGUAGGGGAGUGAAAAGAGAGCUAGAAGUUGGGAACAACAGGGACUCCCAACAGUCUUUCCAGGUGAGACAGAGGUUCACGUGUACCUCCUCUAACCUCAUCUACUGCAUCUGAUGUUCUCAAUGUGGCCUACAGUAGAAUGGUGAGACAAAGCAUAGACAGGAUGACCGUUUCGCUUCCAUCUCCUGGUUGCCAACCAUUUUAACUCACUUUCCCAUUCCCAUACUGGCCUUUCUGUCAUGGCCCCCCUCCAUUGCUAGAGUAAGGCCACAUGCAAAUAGGAGGAACACCACCUUCAUAUUUAGCAUAGGCAGC